RNAcentral lists this unclassified non-coding RNA (18 nucleotides) under Mus musculus (house mouse). RNAcentral describes it as "oocyte_clustered_small_RNA936". The record is from RNAcentral. Lineage: Eukaryota; Metazoa; Chordata; Mammalia; Rodentia; Muridae.
UGUGCCCAUCUGGGGCGU